Molecule: ribosomal RNA, 540 nt
Rfam family: Eukaryotic large subunit ribosomal RNA
GCGAGUGAAGCGGCAAAAGCUCAAAUUUGAAAUCUGGCACUUUCAGUGUCCGAGUUGUAAUUUGAAGAAGGUAACUUUGGAGUUGGCCCUUGUCUAUGUUCCUUGGAACAGGACGUCACAGAGGGUGAGAAUCCCGUGCGAUGAGGUGUCCAAUUCUAUGUAAAGUGCUUUCGAAGAGUCGAGUUGUUUGGGAAUGCAGCUCUAAGUGGGUGGUAAAUUCCAUCUAAAGCUAAAUAUUGGCGAGAGACCGAUAGCGAACAAGUACAGUGAUGGAAAGAUGAAAAGAACUUUGAAAAGAGAGUGAAAAAGUACGUGAAAUUGUUGAAAGGGAAGGGCUUGAGAUCAGACUCGGUAUUUUGCAAGCCUAUCCUUCGUGGAGAGGUUUAUUAGCAGCUUACCGGGCCAGCAUCGGUUUGGAUGGUAGGAUAAUGGCAUUGGAAUGUGGCUCCUCGGAGUGUUAUAGCCUUUGUUGAUACUGCCUAUCUAGACCGAGGACUGCGUCUUUGACUAGGAUGCUGGCGUAAUGAUCUUAAGCCGCCC